This 383-nucleotide ribosomal RNA is filed under the name uncultured eukaryote. Its description in RNAcentral is "partial 18S ribosomal RNA". It matches the Rfam family "Eukaryotic small subunit ribosomal RNA", at positions 592 to 976 of the family's 1831-position model. The record is from RNAcentral.
CAAUAGCGUAUAUUAAAGUUGUUGCAGUUAAAAAGCUAGUAGUUGGAUUUCUGGUGGGAGCGAUCGGUCUGGCGCUUAGCGCGAGUACUUGCAUCGUCUCCGGCCAUCCUUGGGGAGAGUCUGUCUGGCAUUAAGUUGUCGGGCAGAGGAUCCUCAUCGUUUACUGUGAAAAAAUUAGAGUGUUCAAAGCAGGCUUAUGCCGUUGAAUAUAUUAGCAUGGAAUAAUAAGAUAGGACUUUGGUACUAUUUUGUUGGUUUGCGCACCAAAGUAAUGAUUAAUAGGGACAGUUGGGGGUAUUCGUAUUCCGUUGUCAGAGGUGAAAUUCUUGGAUUUACGGAAGACGAACUACUGCGAAAGCAUUUACCAAGGAUGUUUUCAUUAA